UACAGAGGGGGCAAGCGUUAUUCGGAAUUAUUGGGCGUAAAGGGCGCGUAGGCGGCUUGGCAAGUGGAAGGUGAAAUCCCUCGGCUUAACCGAGAAACUGCCCUCCAAACUGCUUCGCUUGAGACCGGGAGAGGUGAGUGGAAUUCCCAGUGUAGCGGUGAAAUGCGUAGAUAUUGGGAGGAACACCAGUGGCGAAGGCGGGUCACCGGACCGGUACUGACGCUGAUGCACGAAAGCGUGGGGAGCAAGCGGG
Molecule: ribosomal RNA, 253 nt
Filed under: uncultured bacterium
Lineage: Bacteria
Description: partial 16S ribosomal RNA
Rfam family: Bacterial small subunit ribosomal RNA
Source: RNAcentral